Molecule: ribosomal RNA, 253 nt
Filed under: uncultured bacterium
Lineage: Bacteria
Description: partial 16S ribosomal RNA
Rfam family: Bacterial small subunit ribosomal RNA
Source: RNAcentral
UACGUAGGGUGCAAGCGUUGUCCGGAAUUAUUGGGCGUAAAGAGCUCGUAGGCGGUUUGUCGCGUCUGCUGUGAAAACGCGAGGCUCAACCUCGCGCCUGCAGUGGGUACGGGCAGACUAGAGUGCGGUAGGGGAGAUUGGAAUUCCUGGUGUAGCGGUGGAAUGCGCAGAUAUCAGGAGGAACACCGAUGGCGAAGGCAGUGGGCUGGGCCGGCACUGACGCUGAGGAGCGAAAGCGUGGGGAGCGAACAGG